UGCAUACUUACUUAUAUGGAUGCAUGUAACACAUCACACAAUUUGGAGUCAAUGAAUUCUGAUUGUACUGUGCUAAUUUGAUUCUCUUCUUUUUGUAGAGCCUCUGAAACAGGUGUCUCAGCCUGAAGUUGUAGAUGUCAGGAAAGAAUCUGUCCCCAUCACCUGGAACUCCCCAGCCCUGGAUGGAGGCCUCCCCAGCGAAAGGUUACGUUAUAGAAAAAAGGAAGAAAGGAAGCAGACUUUGUUUCCCAGUCACCAAAGAGCCAGUCCACGGUACCAGAUUCAAAGAGGAUGGUCUUCUGGAGGAUACAGAAUGAGCUCUGUGUGAUAGCUGUGAACUGUGCAGGCCCUGGACUUCUCAGCAUGCCCUCAACCUCUCAUUGCAAAGGAACCCAUCAGUAUGUUUGAUAUGACUGUGAGGCUGAAGAGACACAUGGUGGUUUGUGUUGGGACAGCACCGGGCAUUUUUUGAGCAUGCAGUUUAUUUUUUGACCAUUCAAUUAAUGCUAACUGAAGUGAAAUCAUUCUUGGGUAAACCUUGAGUGACCCAGGGGAGUCACUGGGUUAUAAAGGCAAUGCUUGGUGUCUCAGCACUGUCCUUUCUGAGGUACAAUUUAUAUUAACAUGGAUAUUGAUCUCGUUUCUGUAGAGGCUAAGGGCACCUUCUGUGCCUUCCUUUUUUUUUAGGUAUAGACUACUGCAUGAGCUGAGGCUCUAAAGUACUUUGCAGAAUCAGCCACAGUGUACAAGUUUAUCUGUAUCACAUCAGCUGUUUUCUCUCAGCUUUCACAAUGAUCAAACUAAUGAACUGUAGUAUAUGGUUUAUGUGGCAUCUCCUAAGCUAAUCAAGCUCUGUGCAUUUUGCUGAGUGCAAAACCUUUACAGCUUCAAGAAAUCUCUAUGACUGCUGUCCCUGAAAUAUUUUUCUGUCAGGCUGAUAAUGUACAAAUAGCUCUUGUAGACACAGAUAUCUAUUUUGUGCUCAGAGAUAUAGCUGGUUUCUGCUGCCUUCCAAGCCAGAAAGCAGAACACUAUAGCUGUAUGUUUGCCUUGGCCAGGACUUGCCACCACCACCACCAGUGAUGUGGCAAAAAGAAGGCAUACCAGCAUGAGGGAGCACAAGAACCGUUUGCCAUCCUUAUUCACAAGACCAGGCAAUUGGUUUCUGACUAGUACCAGAUUAUCCUCAAGAACAGUUAUGGAGAAUCCCUUUAUGACUUUCAGAUGCAAGUUGCAGGUACAGUAUAGAACAAACUUGAUCAUCUUGGUUACCUCUGGGUGCUGACAGGAGGUAUUCCUCUGUUGACAGAAAUUACACACAAUUUCCCCAUCAGUACCGGAGCUGGGGAGGCUGGGUCCUACCUGGUUUUAGGCAGGACAGCAGGACACAAGCAGAUGAGAACUGAUUUCCUAUUCUUCUUUAUAAAUGGCAAGUCACAUGGUUUAUUUGCACAAACCUGAGAGAUGGUAGAAAAGCUCUGAAGGGUAAGAAGGAGAUAAAUUAUUUUCUGAGAAUGAGGUCUCAUAGGAGAAUUUUGCUAUACAUUGCUAUAUUUAGGAUCCAGGGACUUACCUGAAGGGUCUUCAUGCCAGUGCAAAAGUUGGUAAUAAAGACUUCAAGAAAUGUGUUUAAACAGGCCAAAAGUGGAAAUUUUGUAGUGGACACUAGAAAUUAAAUUGCACACUCACUUCCCCUUGAUACCCUCAGGGCAUUCUGUAGACUAUUAGUGCCUCAGAGAGACACCAGCAGAGUAAUAUCCCUUCCUUUACAAGAUCACCUGCUUUGGUUUGUAAUUGGGUGUAAUUUAAUCAUGCAUUUCUAAAGUGCCUUGGGAGCCAAAUAUCCAAAAGCACUUUACAAUUUAAAGGCAUUAGUGAGAGAAGGCAUCAAGAUAUCCCCAUGGAGCAAAACCAUGAUACCUUAUUUACAGACCAAGAAACAACAAAAUUAAUUGCUUGCUUACAGUUGCAUAGAUUGAUGGGAGAAUGAGAAUUUUGAUUCCUUCUGCUCUUGCUUUCAGUUUGUAUUUGUUUACACGUUAAUAUAGGUAUGCUGGUCAGAUGCUAACAGUAAUGUGGUGUACUGUUUGUUCUUCCCUGAAUGAAAUUGUUUCCCUGAGUUUUCCCUGGUGGCAAAAAAGGCCCAGGUCAUGAAAUGUCAUGCCCAAGCUCUUUGGAUU
Long non-coding RNA from Neopsephotus bourkii (Bourke's parrot), 2180 nucleotides. RefSeq lists it as uncharacterized. The transcript is spliced from 4 exons. NCBI's taxonomy places the organism in Eukaryota, Metazoa, Chordata, Aves, Psittaciformes, Psittacidae. The record is from RefSeq and is a predicted model, not a curated record.